AUGAUCUCACACCACCGCGCGCUCGUGGGGUCAAAGGGCCUAUGCGAUCCGGGGAGGAUGCUCCGUCGUCGUCGUCGCGCGCACGACCUCGCCCUCGCAUUAAACUAUGGCGGCAAUGGAUGGCGAGCCCGUCACCCGCCACGCGCGCGCGCUCUCUCCCAUUUCGGGGGAUGGCGAAAACCAGGACACGUGUCUUUUGGAGAAAUUUAUAAGUGCCGCGGGCCGCAGGGCCGCGCGUGGGCCGCGCCUAGCACCGAGCGGCGUAGCGGGCCUCUCGCCGCGAAAGCCGGGCAGAACGGAGACCCGGCCCGGGGCCCGGUUAUAAAAGCCUCGCUCGCCGCAUGCCGCAACCACCGCCGCGGCCUCCUCGAGCGAGCCCCAGCCCCAUCUCCGAUCUCCGUCUCUUCCGUCCCGUCCCGCUGCGACGUCGACGCCGGUAGCCACCACGGCCGCCCUCCGCCCCGUGCGAAUAUUCACGGCGAUGGUGUUGCAGCGGAGACUUUGACGACGGAGCAGGCGCCACCGCCACGAACCAACAGUGGCCGCGUGCGCGCGUGUGUACACUUCUACGUGAGCGUGGGCGAUCGGUUCACGUCCGUCGAUCGGAGGCUGGGGCGUAGGUCGGAGGACAUGCGGCUGAGGCGGUCGCGUCCGCCUGCCAAGACAGAGGACAGGCGGCUGAGGCGGUCUCCGCCGGUGUCGCUGGAGAAGGCGCGGCGGCAGGGGCGGGCGUCGCGGGGCGGGGCUGCGGUGGCGGGGACGGCGGCAGGGACGGCAGCGGGGUGCGCGGCCGUGUGCGCCUGCUUCCCGUUCGCGGUGAUUGAGCUCGCCGUCCUAGCCACCGUGCGCGCGCCCGCCGCGAUGUGCCGCCGCACCAUCCGCGAGCGGCGCAGCCGGCGAUGCGAGGCCCGGGCCAUGCGGAAGAAGGAGAUGGAGGGCGUCAUCCUCGGCGGGGACGCGUCGCCCAAGUCGGUGGCCGCGACCCAGGAGAAGCACGCCGCGCUGAAGGCGGAGGAGGAAGAGGAGCAGGGGUGGCGCCAUUGGCCGAUCAAGCCCGCGGCGGCGGCUGUGGCUGCGGCCGAGGAGCUCGCGGAGGCGGAGAAGGAGGUGUGGGAGCGCUUCUACGGCACCGGCGGCUUCGGGAGGAGCCCGUCGGAGCACGAGGAAACGUGGUGA
RNAcentral lists this ribosomal RNA (1176 nucleotides) under Triticum aestivum (bread wheat). RNAcentral's name for it is "partial small subunit ribosomal RNA". Lineage: Eukaryota; Viridiplantae; Streptophyta; Magnoliopsida; Poales; Poaceae. The record is from RNAcentral.